UACGUAGGGUGCAAGCGUUGUCCGGAUUUAUUGGGCGUAAAGAGCUUGUAGGCGGUCUGUCGCGUCUGCUGUGAAAAUCCGGGGCUCAACCCCGGACUUGCAGUGGGUACGGGCAGACUAGAGUGUGGUAGGGGAGACUGGAAUUCCUGGUGUAGCGGUGAAAUGCGCAGAUAUCAGGAGGAACACCGAUGGCGAAGGCAGGUCUCUGGGCCACUACUGACGCUGAGAAGCGAAAGCAUGGGGAGCGAACAGG
Molecule: ribosomal RNA, 253 nt
Filed under: uncultured bacterium
Lineage: Bacteria
Description: partial 16S ribosomal RNA
Rfam family: Bacterial small subunit ribosomal RNA
Source: RNAcentral